GUGCUCACUUCAGCAGUACAUACACUAAAAUUGGAAUGAUACAGAGCAGAUUAGCAUGGCCCCUGCACAAGGAUGACAUGCAAAUUUUUGAAGCAUACCAUGAAAAC
Molecule: small nuclear RNA, 107 nt
Organism: Pongo abelii (Sumatran orangutan)
Lineage: Eukaryota; Metazoa; Chordata; Mammalia; Primates; Hominidae
Source: Ensembl